GGAGGGUUCGCAUAGUGGUCUAGUGCGCACGCUUGGAAAGCGUGUGAGGCGUAAGCCUCCGAGAGUUCGAAUCUCUCACCCUCCG
This 85-nucleotide transfer RNA is filed under the name Candidatus Lloydbacteria bacterium RIFCSPHIGHO2_02_FULL_50_13. RNAcentral describes it as "tRNA-Ser". It matches the Rfam family "tRNA". From Rfam's summary of the family: Transfer RNA (tRNA) molecules are approximately 80 nucleotides in length. Their secondary structure includes four short double-helical elements and three loops (D, anti-codon, and T loops). Further hydrogen bonds mediate the characteristic L-shaped molecular structure. tRNAs have two regions of fundamental functional importance: the anti-codon, which is responsible for specific mRNA codon recognition, and the 3' end, to which the tRNAs corresponding amino acid is attached (by aminoacyl-tRNA synthetases). tRNAs cope with the degeneracy of the genetic code in two manners: having more than one tRNA (with a specific anti-codon) for a particular amino acid; and 'wobble' base-pairing, i.e. permitting non-standard base-pairing at the 3rd anti-codon position. The record is from RNAcentral. Lineage: Bacteria; Candidatus Lloydiibacteriota.